ACUUUUGAUGAUGAGGUAAUAGUUCUUCAUUGCUCUGUGUUUCUUGUGUAAAUAUUAUUUCUAAACUUUCAUAUUACUUUAAAAGUUAAAACAUUAAUGUUGUAUCACUCCGCCAGAAAAGUAGAGACCUGUGUAUGUGUUUCAUGUUUCCAACAAAGGUAUGUAGAUUUGUGUAUUAUUAUUAUUAUUUUUUGUGAUAAAACGUUUUUGUUAAUGUAAUUUAAAUUAUUAUUUUAUAUGAAUGAAUGUUGUUUACUUCCUCUUCUAUCGGACUUUUGCUGAUGAGGUAUCACUCCGCCAGAAAAGUAGAGACCUGUGUAUGUGUUUCAUGUUUCCAACAAAAAUUAAGAAUUCCUCGGGCGGAGGAUUGUAACACACAAGCAUCAAAUUAUUUUGGGCUGUGCUUAUUUGCCUUUGCCUUGCAUCUAUUUGGCCCGCGUCUGUAGACAAUUACGCCGACCCGGGCCCCAGACUCAGUAAACAGAGCCGCAUAGCUGCACCCUCCCGGGAGGAUUGGCAAGAUGAAUUUGCUCGGGAAGAAAAGAGGCGGCUCGUAUAGGAGGAGGCGGCGAGCGGCGAGUGCCGUCAUGUCACCUCACGCUCCAUUUUUCACCACCAAACAAGGGGUCUCUUCUGCCCGUCUGCAGCUCAAAAAGGCAGCUGUGUUCUUGGCUCCUCGGCUUCUUUCAGAGACACUGGCGUUCACCGCAGCCAUCCGACUCUCAGGUAUGACUUUACAAUCUCACUAAAAUAAAUAAAUAAAUGAUAAAUGGGUUGUACUUAUAUAGCGCUUUCGUACCUUCAAGGUACUCAAAGCGCUUUGACACUACUUCCACAUUUACCCAUUCACACACACAUUCACACACUGAUGGAGGGAGCUGCCAUGCAAGGCGUUAACCAGCACCCAUCAGGAGCAAGGGUGAAGAGAAGUGUCUUGCUCAGGACACAACGGACGUGACGAGGUUGGUACUAGGUGGGGAUUGAACAAGGGACCCUCGGGUUGCGCACGGCCACUCUCCCACGUAAUCCUAGUAUAUGUGUCUAAUUACAUCUGAAACUCUCCGCCUGGAGCCGUCGCCUUUUCUUUUUUUUUUUUCGUUUCUUUUUUGUGCUUCACUCCAACUUUCCUCAUCCACAAAUCUUUCAUCCUCGCUCAAAUUAAAGGGGAAAUCGUCGCUUUCUCGAUCCGAAUCGCUCUUGCUGCUGGUGGCCAUGAUUGUAAACAAUGUUUCAGUAGCCCUUUAAUAUUAUGAUCAAUGUUAAUUAAAAGCUAAAUGUGGGAUAUAAAUAUAAUGGAAGUUUAAUUGUUUGUAUAUCCUAAGUAAUUGGUGCAAAGGUUUAACACGUGUACAAAUAUAUUUCACGUCUUUACUGUGUAUAUAAUUGAACAGUAUUUAUGUUGUCUACAAUGUGUUUUUAUAAUAUGUUGUGAAAAGAAAAUUGGAUAUUUUUUGGAAGCUCAUCUUGUACUUGACUUGGUU
Nerophis ophidion (straightnose pipefish) is the source of this 1481-nucleotide long non-coding RNA. RefSeq lists it as uncharacterized. The record is from RefSeq and is a predicted model, not a curated record. Lineage: Eukaryota; Metazoa; Chordata; Actinopteri; Syngnathiformes; Syngnathidae. The transcript is spliced from 5 exons.